Molecule: long non-coding RNA, 1124 nt
Organism: Bombus terrestris (buff-tailed bumblebee)
Lineage: Eukaryota; Metazoa; Arthropoda; Insecta; Hymenoptera; Apidae
Exons: 3
Source: RefSeq, a predicted model, not a curated record
UAAUGGCGGAUCAUAAGCAUUCAAAUGACAGAUCAAAAUUAAAUACAUUGUACUAACGAGAUACAGCGAAUCAACUAUAUACGAACGCCAACUACUUUCAGUAAAUCUCACGAUGGUACGCAUAACAAUGAGAAACAGAUGUGGAACGUGACGAGGUUGUUGGAGACGAGGAUUCGACGGCUCAGCAUCCAAUGGCAGAGGCCAGCCAGCCCAGCCACUCCUGCAGGAUUCUCCGAUCUGGAGGCGUGUGCAACUUACGAUGGUUCGUUCGCGAUAUCCUCGCCGAGCUUGUAUAAAUAAGCGGCUCACGACGCUAAAAUCCUGAGCCAGCUGAAAAAGGCCGCUCUUCCAGAGGAAUUUAGUCGUAUAACGUCCGCAGGAUGCUCAUCGAUUCCCGAUUAACGCGCCGCGAGGAUGCAACCCUCGGUGCACACGCGACGCUGCAAUUUUAUUCCAGCGAUUCCUCGCCUCGGGCCACCGUCCACUUUACGACGCCUCUUCCUUUCUUUCUCGCUUAUGGCUAUCAGGAGAAUAGCAUCCUUUGUAAAUACGCCUUUUUGCCAGUCUUCUCGUUACCUCGCGAUAUGUAGAGGAGAUGAAGUCGUGUAACAGAGAUAUUGAUCGGUCAGCUUACGGUGCGAGUCUUAACUAGGUUUUCCCCGACUUCGAAACGACCGAUGUUGCGCGAGUUUCGAGUCACCGGAUGCCCGGGAAAUGAUUUUCAUCCUUUUGCUAAACGAGAAUUUUUCGUAAUUUCAUUGUCUGACUUGAUUCUAAGCUUAAUUCUGAGCGUAAUUUGAUUCUAAGCUUUCGAUAAAUCCGAGAGAAUUCUCAGAUACUUAACAACGCGUCUUCUACGUUAUACCACCAUUUGUUAAGUCAAAUGUUUGUAACUUUUCCGGUUAGAAAUAGUAAUUAUGAAGAGAAAAAUUCAGGGUGAAACUUUGCCCGUUUGCAUCAAGUAAAACGUAAUCUAAUGUUUAUUAAAAUAAAUAUUCAUUGGAAGCAAGUUCAAGGAUGAAGUUUCGCUCGCCUGUCUUAAAUGACAGAUAAAACUUAAUUACCUGGCGCUAUGCUUAUUUACAUGCCCAUGUUAUCGACAUCAUUUGUAACCUCGAACAACA